AUGUUGCCCAGGCUGGUCUUAAACUCCUGGGCUCAAGUGAUCCUCCCACCUCGGCCUCCCAAAGUGCUGGGAUUCCAGGUGUGAGCCACAUCCCCGGCUGGAACAAGAUGCUGGUGAAAGCGCUAGGGCUAGAGACCAAGGCUCUGCUGGUUUUAUGAUUGUUUUUUUGGGGGGUAGGAGGGUUGACUUCAUGUUUGAAUUUUCACCAGGUAAAGAAUGACAGUGCGGGGUGCAUCAUGGCACACAGCAGAAACACACUGAGAUGGUUUGUAACUGAGGGCUCACUGUCCUUUCCUAACCUUUUAGGUCUAAACAAGCUACGGCAAACGUGUCUGUCAGGAGCACGGGAGGGCAGAUGUGGUUUCCCUGGCGUAGAGGUCUGGGUGUGGUUACUUGUGGCAUCGGGGCCUGGGGAGGAGAGCGGUUCCCACCCAGCCCCAAGACCCAGGCUCCUGCCCGCGUCCCGACGUGUUCCUUCUGAUGCAAUGUCACUUGGGGUCACCUCCUCGCCAUGCAGCUGCUGUCUAGGAGAUGCAUGGUGUGUGCUGGGGGCUGAGCAGGGUGCUGGGAAAUCUGGUGUGCCCACCUCACAGGCCGGGGGUCCCUGGGGGCACUGCAGCAGCCUGGAGGGUCUGUGCCCCUGGAGAGUGGCAGCUGCAGCUGGCUCCACUUGAGACCACAUUUGAAACGUGAGCACUCGGGCUGGCCCAUUUUCCCACAGGGGGCAAAAUGAGCAUUUACAUGAAAUCCCAAUGCCAGAUGGCGGUGGCUGAGCCAGCCAGACAGAAAGUGAAACACCAAUGAGCCGAAGACAGCUCCCCUUUGAGACGCUUAGCCAGUAAGUCUGCACUGGCCGCAUCCCACCCAGGAGGACCCCGAUGCUGGCCUGAGGCAGCUGUCACCCCGCCGGUCCGCAUCAUACUCAGCUCCGUGGCAGCCUACAGCAUCACCUGUCCCUGGCUCAUUCGCCCUUCAGCUCCUGCAGUCCCGGAUGCCUCGCUCCCUGGGGUCUCUGUCCCCUGUGUUGGGGGACGCCUUGGCUGCUGUGUGGGCUCUGCCCCCAGAGGGCACCGGACCACAUCUAGGGACAUCUGUGGUUGUCACAACUGGAGGUGCUCCUGGCAUGGAGUGGGUGGAGGCCAGGGAUGCCACUUGGUGCACAGGAUGGCCCCGCCCCAGAGAACCACCCGGCCCUGGCGUCCAUGGUGUCCCUGCUCUAACUUUGAAGAGCCUGGGCCGGGCUCCCGGACCACCCCACCUCUCUAUCCAGAAGUGACCCUUGGGAGCUCUGUCCCAUCCCGAGGCUGACACUGUCAGUGUGCAAGGACACCUGCAAUCCCACCAGGAGUCUCGGUUCCCUGAGCUCCAGGCACGGGAACUGGCCCAUACAGCAUCUCCACUACCGGGCACCUCAACUUGAACACAUCCAAACCCGACUCUGGAUUUUUUCUCUCCUAGAACAGUCCCUCUCUGAGUCUGUCUUAGACUGGACCUGCGGAGCCCUCCGGGCAUCCAUGCCGCCUCCCUCCUCUCUGAUCCCCCACCCUUUCCACUGCAAACGGUGUGGGCUCAGCUGUCCAAGCACAUCCAGAAUCAGACCCACCAGGACAGCUCAGCCACUGCCAUGACAGCAAGCCUGUCGCCUCUCCCGGCCCCUGGGCCUGUGUGCAAGCUGCAACCAGAGGAGUCAUCUGAAACUGAGUGAACAAUUCCAUCACAGCUACCUACAGCAGGAGCUGGCAAAUGUUUCUACAAAGGGCUAGACAGUAAAUCUUGGCCUUGCACAACAGUUUCUGCUGGGACUACCCAGUUCUGCUGCUGCAGCACAAAAGCGACCACAGACAGUCUCUGUAAACAAGUGGCUGUGGCUCAGUG
Molecule: long non-coding RNA, 1875 nt
Filed under: Homo sapiens (human)
Lineage: Eukaryota; Metazoa; Chordata; Mammalia; Primates; Hominidae
Description: DPP9 antisense RNA 1
Source: RNAcentral